CUGGUUGAUCCUGCCAGACCCGACUGCUAUCAGAGUGGGACUAAGCCAUGCGAGUCAACAUAGCAAUAUGUGGCAUACGGCUCAGUAACACGUAGUCAACAUGCCCAGGGGACGUGGAUAACCUCGGGAAACUGAGGAUAAACCGCGAUAGGUCAUCACUUCUGGAAUGGGUAAUGACUUAAACCUAUAUGGCCCCUGGAUUGGACUGCGGCCGAUCAGGCUGUUGGUGAGGUAAUGGCCCACCAAACCUGUAACCGGUACGGGCUCUGAGAGGAGGAGCCCGGAGAUGGGCACUGAGACAAGGGCCCAGGCCCUAUGGGGCGCAGCAGGCGCGAAACCUCUGCAAUAGGCGAAAGCUUGACAGGGUUACUCUGAGUGAUUUCCGUUAAGGAGAUCUUUUGGCACCUCUAAAAAUGGUGCAGAAUAAGGGGUGGGCAAGUCUGGUGUCAGCCCCCCGCGGUAAUACCAGCACCCCGAGUGGUCGGGACGUUUAUUGGGCCUAAAGCAUCCGUAGCCGGUUCUACAAGUCUUCCGUUAAAUCCACCUGCUUACAGGUGGGCUGCCGGAAGAUACUAUAGAGCUAGGAGGCGGGAGAGGCAGCCGUACUCCGAUGGGUAGGGUAAAUCCUUUGAUCAUUGAAGAACACCCGUGGCGAGGCGGCUUGCCGACCCCCCUCACGGUGAAGAUUAAACUGGGGACCAACCGGAUAAAACCCGGGAGCCCCAGCGUAACAUGCA
Molecule: ribosomal RNA, 737 nt
Filed under: uncultured soil archaeon
Lineage: Archaea
Description: bacterial SSU rRNA
Rfam family: Archaeal small subunit ribosomal RNA
Source: RNAcentral